RNAcentral lists this long non-coding RNA (624 nucleotides) under Homo sapiens (human). RNAcentral describes it as "non-protein coding lnc-ATP1B1-2:1". Lineage: Eukaryota; Metazoa; Chordata; Mammalia; Primates; Hominidae. The record is from RNAcentral.
UGGAGGAUAUUCUUCCAGAUCAAGUGCUUUGGGAGCUGGGUGUUACAGUGCAGACAAGGCCAAGUCCAAGAACCACACCACACACAACCAGUCCCGAAAAUGGCACAGAAUGGCAUCAAGAAACCCCGAUUGCAAAGAUAUGAAUCUCUUAAGGGGGUGGACCCCAAGUUCCUGAGGAACAUGGGCUUUGCCAAGAAGUGCAACAAGAAGGGCCUAAAGAAGAUGCAGGCCAACAAUGCCAAGGCCAUGAGUGCACGUACUGAGGCUAUCAAGGUCCUCAUAAAGCCAAAGGAGGUUAAGCCCAGAUGCCAAAGGGUGUCAGCCUCAAGCUCAAUCAAUUUGCCUACAUUACCCACCCCAAGCUUGGGAAGUGUGCUUGUGCCCGCAUUGCCAAGGGUCUCAGGUUGUGUGGGCCAAAGGCCAAAGCCAAGGAUCAAACCAAGGCCCAGGCUGCAGCUCCAGCUUCAGUUUCAGCUCAGGCUCCCAAAGAUGCCCAGGCCCCUACAAAGACUUCAGGGUAGAGAUCUCUGUCUGCCAACGUGAGGACAGAAGGACUGGUGUGACCCACCCUGGGCUGCCAUCAGCAUGGGGCUGGUGUCUUCCUGUGCUAUUUGUAUAAAUAAG